This 419-nucleotide long non-coding RNA is filed under the name Olea europaea (common olive). RNAcentral describes it as "long non-coding RNA (OEUR_LNC013076)". Lineage: Eukaryota; Viridiplantae; Streptophyta; Magnoliopsida; Lamiales; Oleaceae. The record is from RNAcentral.
CUGUUUGGCCCCCAUUACCUGAAAAUGGUAAUGGGGAGAAUAGUAUUUUUUAGAAAAAUGAGUGGUUGAAAAGAAGGUAAAGUUUUCGAUUUACGUGUAAUAUUAUUUUUUAUUGAAGAUUGUAUGGUUGAAAAUAGAGGAGAGAAAAAUGAAAUGUAAUGUAAUUUAAUUUAAUGUUAAUCAAACAGGGGCUUAAUGGGAUCAAACGAGGGCUAAUUUUCAACAAAGUUUAAUUUUCAAUUGGCUCUUGUUCCCACGCACCCCCUCCUCUCUCUCUCUCUCUAUCCACAAUCAAAUCGGUAUAGUGAAACCCUGAUUCCAUUCCAAUCCAUCUCCUCGCAACUUAAAAUCAAACCUGUCGCUAUAUUAUUUCCAGAUCUUUUACUUUUUCCAUCUCUAGCGCACAGAAGUUAUAUAUU